AUUGAACGCUGGCGGAAGGCUUAACACAUGCAAGUCGAACGAGUGGCGGACGGGUGAGUAAUGCUUGGGAAUCUAGCUUAUGGAUGGGGUUAAUUACGGGAAACUGUAGCUAAUACCGCGUACCAUAGGAUGAGCCCACGUGGGAUUAGGUAGUUGUUGAGUUAAAGGCUCACCAAGCCGACGAUCUCUAGCUGGUCUGAGAGGAUGACGGGCAACACUGGGACUGAGACACGGCCCAGAAUACAACGGGAAGCAGCAGUGGGGAAUAGUGCGCAAUGGGGGAAACCCUGACGCAGCCAUGCCGCGUGUAUUAAGAAGGAAUUAGGGUUGUAAGGUACUUUCAGAGGGGAGGCGUUACCCGCAGAAGAAGCACCGGCUAACUCCGUGCCAGCAGCCGCGGUAAUUC
This 406-nucleotide ribosomal RNA is filed under the name uncultured bacterium. RNAcentral's name for it is "partial 16S ribosomal RNA". It matches the Rfam family "Bacterial small subunit ribosomal RNA", at positions 30 to 526 of the family's 1533-position model. The record is from RNAcentral.